GCAGUAGCCGCGGGAAUACGAAGGGGGCUAGCGUUGUUCGGAUUUACUGGGCGUAAAGCGCACGUAGGCGGACUUUUAAGUCAGGGGUGAAAUCCCGGGGCUCAACCCCGGAACUGCCUUUGAUACUGGAAGUCUUGAGUAUGGUAGAGGUGAGUGGAAUUCCGAGUGUAGAGGUGAAAUUCGUAGAUAUUCGGAGGAACACCAGUGGCGAAGGCGGCUCACUGGACCAUUACUGACGCUGAGGUGCGAAAGCGUGGGGAGCAAACAGGAUUAGAUACCCGGGUAGUCCCUGUCUCUUAUCC
This 302-nucleotide ribosomal RNA is filed under the name uncultured bacterium. Its description in RNAcentral is "partial 16S ribosomal RNA". It matches the Rfam family "Bacterial small subunit ribosomal RNA", at positions 508 to 809 of the family's 1533-position model. The record is from RNAcentral.